UACGAGAGGCCCAAACGUUAUUCGGAUUUACUGGGCUUAAAGAGUUCGUAGGCGGUCUAGCAAGUGAGGUGUGAAAGCCCUCGGCUCAACCGAGGAAUUGCGCUUCAAACUGCUAGGCUCGAGGGAGAUAGAGGUGAGCGGAACUGAUGGUGGAGCGGUGAAAUGCGUUGAUAUCAUCAGGAACACCAGAGGCGAAGGCGGCUCACUGGGUCUUUUCUGACGCUGAGGAACGAAAGCUAGGGGAGCGAA
Molecule: ribosomal RNA, 249 nt
Filed under: uncultured bacterium
Lineage: Bacteria
Description: partial 16S ribosomal RNA
Rfam family: Bacterial small subunit ribosomal RNA
Source: RNAcentral